This 174-nucleotide microRNA precursor is filed under the name Podarcis lilfordi (Lilford's wall lizard). The record is from RNAcentral. Lineage: Eukaryota; Metazoa; Chordata; Lepidosauria; Squamata; Lacertidae.
AUGUAGCGAGCUGAGUGGGGAGGAGAGAGGGACAGAGAGCCUGCUUGCUUUAAAGGAGCCAACCGGACAGGAGCCGCUUACACUCAUGUAAGCGGCUCCUCUCCUCUCCCGCUUUGCUCCUUUAAAGAAGCAGGCUCUCUGUCCCUCUCUCCUCCCCACUCAGCGGCUCUUCUC